Molecule: small nucleolar RNA, 134 nt
Organism: Polyodon spathula (Mississippi paddlefish)
Lineage: Eukaryota; Metazoa; Chordata; Actinopteri; Acipenseriformes; Polyodontidae
Product: small nucleolar RNA SNORA72
Exons: 1
Source: RefSeq, a predicted model, not a curated record
AUGCGAAUUUAUUCUCAUCUGAUGGAUCCGUCAAUGGUCUAAUCAGGGCUAGACAUUCGCUAGAUUAAAAAAGCCUUAUUGUCCACAGAACUGGUCUUGUGCCUGUUCUGGUUAUUUUUCUGCUGUUGACAGUU